RNAcentral lists this ribosomal RNA (460 nucleotides) under uncultured bacterium. RNAcentral describes it as "partial 16S ribosomal RNA". It matches the Rfam family "Bacterial small subunit ribosomal RNA", at positions 338 to 795 of the family's 1533-position model. The record is from RNAcentral.
CCUACGGGUGACAGCAGUGAGGAAUAUUGGUCAAUGGGCGAGAGUCUGAACCAGCCAAGUAGCGUGCAGGAUGACUGCCCUAUGGGUUGUAAACUUCUUUUGUAUGGGAAUAACAUGUUCCACGUGUGGGAUUUUGUAUGUACCGUGUGAAUAAGGACCGGCUAACUCCGUGCCAGCAGCCGCGGUUAUACGGAGGAUCCGAGCGUUAUCCGGAUUUAUUGGGGUUAAAGGGAGCGUAGGUGGGUUGUUAAGUCAGUUGUGAAAGUUUGCGGCUCAACCGUAACAUUGCAGUUGAAACUGGAAGUCUUGAGUACAGUAGAGGUGGGCGGAAUUCGUGGUGUAGCGGUGAAAUGCGUAGAUAUCACGAAGAACCCCGAUUGCGAAGGCAGCUCACUGGAGUGCAACUGACACUGAGGCUCGAAGGUGUGGGUAUCAAACAGGAUUAGAUACCCUGGUAGUC